CUCGACUCACCUCUACGAAGCAAUCGUGAGCAAGCAGCCGGAGUGUUGACGGCGUGACUACGUUGGACUGAUUGGCCAUCGCGCUGACCGCGUUGUGAACGAGCUUGUCUACAUCGGGGCAGGUCCUGUUGUAGAAAUCCACCGAGAGCUGCGACGAUCCGAGAUCCGAAAGGGAGAGCAGGGAAACGAAGAGGAGGAGGAGCGAGCAGCGCAUGGUGAUGCCUCCUCUGGCUUCCUUCACACAGGAGAAACUAAUUGCUGGAACCAAAAACUGAUCGAUCGCUCGCUCGCUCGCUCGCUUGCUGCUGCAGUUUUCUUUCGCUCCCUUUCUUGCAACAGAUGCAACAGCUGUGGGAGCAAAGCAGAAAAGUAAAAGAAGAAACGCAGGCCAGAGAAACCCACCGUGGGAGGAGAGAUUUCCCAGCGAGUAAACAGAUUUGGAAGAGAAAUACACCAAAACAGCCUCAAAACUGGAGCUUCAGGGCACCUGCAGCAACAGCACCUUCAUCGCUUGGUCACUUCACUACCUUUUCUGAGAAAGUGAUGGCUAGCAGCAAGCUUUGGCUAUGGCAGGCCUUAUUGUUCUUAUCAAAGUUCCUGAAGGAGAGAGUGCCUUGGAGCAGCCACUAUCAGGAUGCCACAACAAGCCAACAAAACAUUGAUUGCUUCACAAGAGGAAAACUCUCUCUGGAGAUGGCAAUUGAUGUGAGAUCACAAAUGCAGUUAAGUCUGGCCUUUUUUUACAUGUCUAUCUCUCUCCUUUUCCACUCUUAAGAUAUUUUUCUUUCUAGCA
This is a long non-coding RNA of Selaginella moellendorffii, 793 nucleotides long. RefSeq lists it as uncharacterized. The record is from RefSeq and is a predicted model, not a curated record. Lineage: Eukaryota; Viridiplantae; Streptophyta; Lycopodiopsida; Selaginellales; Selaginellaceae. The transcript is spliced from 2 exons.